Molecule: ribosomal RNA, 787 nt
Filed under: uncultured bacterium
Lineage: Bacteria
Description: bacterial SSU rRNA
Rfam family: Bacterial small subunit ribosomal RNA
Source: RNAcentral
ACGCUGGCGGCGUGCCUAAUACAUGCAAGUCGAGCGAAGGAUGUAGCAAUACGUCUUUAGCGGCGAACGGGUGAGUAACGCGUUGGUGACCUGCCUCGAAGCGUGGGAUAACAGUUCGAAAGGAUUGCUAAUACCGCAUGUGGUUGGAGAGAUUAGAAGCUUUGCAACUAAAGGAGAAAUUCACUUCGAGAGGGGCCUGCGUCCCAUCAGCUAGUUGGUAAGGUAAAGGCUUACCAAGGCUAUGACGGGUAGGGGACCUGAGAGGGUGACCCCCCACAAUGGAACUGAAACACGGUCCAUACACCUACGGGUGGCAGCAGUAGGGAAUAUUGCAUAAUGGGCGAAAGCCUGAUGCAGCAACGCCGCGUGUGCGAUGAAGGCCUUCGGGUCGUAAAGCACUUUUAGAGAGGAUGAGGAAGGACAGUACUCUCUGAAUAAGCCUCGGCUAACUACGUGCCAGCAGCCGCGGUAAAACGUAGGAGGCGAGCGUUAUCCGGAUUUACUGGGCGUAAAGCGCGUGCAGGCGGUAAGGAAAGUUGGAUGUGAAAGCUCCUGGCUUAACUGGGAGAGGUCGUUCAAAACUACCUAACUAGAGUGUGGGAGAGGGAGGCGGAAUUCCGGGUGUAGUGGUGAAAUGCGUAGAUAUCCGGAGGAACACCAGUGGCGAAAGCGGCCUCCUGGCCCAAGACUGACGCUCAGACGCGAAAGCUAGGGUAGCAAACGGGAUUAGAGACCCCGGUAGUCCUAGCUGUAAACGAUGUGGACUUGGCGUCGGCGGGUUUAAAUC